RNAcentral lists this ribosomal RNA (301 nucleotides) under uncultured bacterium. RNAcentral's name for it is "partial 16S ribosomal RNA". It matches the Rfam family "Bacterial small subunit ribosomal RNA", at positions 509 to 809 of the family's 1533-position model. The record is from RNAcentral.
CAGCAGCCGCGGUAAUACGGAGGGCGCAAGCGUUAAUCGGAAUUACUGGGCGUAAAGCGCACGCAGGCGGUUUGUUAAGUCAGAUGUGAAAUCCCCGAGCUUAACUUGGGAACUGCAUUUGAAACUGGCAAGCUAGAGUCUUGUAGAGGGGGGUAGAAUUCCAGGUGUAGCGGUGAAAUGCGUAGAGAUCUGGAGGAAUACCGGUGGCGAAGGCGGCCCCCUGGACAAAGACUGACGCUCAGGUGCGAAAGCGUGGGGAGCAAACAGGAUUAGAUACCCCUGUAGUCCCUGUCUCUUAUAA